RNAcentral lists this ribosomal RNA (497 nucleotides) under uncultured bacterium. RNAcentral's name for it is "partial 16S ribosomal RNA". It matches the Rfam family "Bacterial small subunit ribosomal RNA", at positions 28 to 507 of the family's 1533-position model. The record is from RNAcentral.
GAUGAACGCUGGCGGCGUGCCUAAUACAUGCAAGUCGAGCGAACGGACGAGAAGCUUGCUUCUCUGAUGUUAGCGGCGGACGGGUGAGUAACACGUGGAUAACCUACCUAUAAGACUGGGAUAACUUCGGGAAACCGGAGCUAAUACCGGAUGAUAUUUUGAACCGCAUGGUUCAAAAGUGAAAGACGGUCUUGCUGUCACUUAUAGAUGGAUCCGCGCUGCAUUAGCUAGUUGGUAAGGUCACGGCUUACCAAGGCAACGAUGCAUAGCCGACCUGAGAGGGUGAUCGGCCACACUGGAACGGAGACACGGUCCAGACGCCUACGGGAGGCAGCAGUAGGGAAUCUUCCGCAAUGGGCGAAAGCCUGACGGAGCAACGCCGCGUGAGUGAUGAAGGUCUUCGGAUCGUAAAACUCUGUUAUGAGGGAAGAACAUAUGUGUAAGUAACUGUGCACAUCUUGACGGUACCUAAUCAGAAAGCCACGGCUAACUACGUG